RNAcentral lists this ribosomal RNA (446 nucleotides) under uncultured bacterium. RNAcentral describes it as "bacterial SSU rRNA". It matches the Rfam family "Bacterial small subunit ribosomal RNA", at positions 330 to 792 of the family's 1533-position model. The record is from RNAcentral.
ACCAGACUCCUACGGGAGGCAGCAGUGGGGAAUAUUGCACAAUGGGGGAAACCCUGAUGCAGCGACGCCGCGUGAGUGAAGAAGUAUUUCGGUAUGUAGAGCUCUAUCAGCAGGAACGAGACAAGACGGUACCUGACUAAGAAGCCCCGGCUAACUACGUGCCAGCAGCCGCGGUAAUACGUAGGGGGCAAGCGUUAUCCGGAAUCACUGGGUGUAAAGGGAGCGUAGACGGCUGUGCAAGCCUGAAGUGAAAGGCGGGGGCCCAACCCCUGGACUGCUUUGGGAACUGUACGGCUGGAGUGCAGGAGAGGUAAGUGGAAUUCCUAGUGUAGCGGUGAAAUGCGUAGAUAUUAGGAGGAACACCAGUGGCGAAGGCGGCUUACUGGACUGUAACUGACGUUGAGGCUCGAAAGCGUGGGGAGCAAACAGGAUUAGAUACCCGCGUA